Molecule: non-coding RNA, 1706 nt
Organism: Oryctolagus cuniculus (rabbit)
Lineage: Eukaryota; Metazoa; Chordata; Mammalia; Lagomorpha; Leporidae
Source: RefSeq, a predicted model, not a curated record
CCUUGCUCUACAAGUGAUUAAUUGAAUGACCUAGGGGAGGUAAUUUAACCCAGCCGUGUAAAAAGAAAAUAUGCAUUUACCCGCCAGAACAGGGUGUCUAAGUUGAAUGCACACCUGUACCACUGACAUCACUGUCUCCUCAAAGACCCCCCUCUUGCUCACACCCCUCCCUCGGGUCUACUCCUCCUUGUCUCCACCUUCUGAUUUAACCUCUGCAAGUCUUAUCAAAUCCAAAUAUGUCUUAGCUCCCGUCUCCUUCCUCUACCCAAUCCUAUUCUAUCUUUGAUGUUUACUGAAGGAACGCUCAAAACUGAAGGCCUGAUCCGUCUAGUGUCUUGCUCUCCGGGCUCUAGUUCACUCCGGGCUGUUAGGCCAUGGGCAUUUUCACGCUGUCCAUGUGGUUGUUUGGCCUCUCACUCUACCAUGAUUGGACGUACCCUCAUACACAACAUCCAUUACGCUAGGUUCCACUAAAGAGGAUUUGGAGUUUGACAGCCAAAAACUAAUUGAUGGAAAGGUCGACCAAGGGUAGGAUCACCUGUGAUGAGGAGCUGUGGUGGAGCCUGAAGAACAUUAAACCUUCAUUUCUUGACUGCUCAUCUCCAGCCUUUAUCACAAGAUUCCAUGAAAGAUGCAAGAGUGGAGACAUCAGAAGACAGGAAUGAAUCUUUUGGACACUCAGGUGCACCAUGUAGAAAUUGGAGUCUAGUCAAUGUCACAAGUUGUGUUGUGACAAAAUAUGCCAAUUUUUUAGUCACUGUAUUUUAAAAACAAUAGUGAUAAAAUAAUCUGAGCUGUUUUCAUAAUUUUUGUAAUUUUCACUUUUUAUAAAAUAUUUCCUGAGUGAUAGAAAGGAGAGUCAGAGGUAAGGGUUCAUCUAAAAGUCAUGUAAAAGAUAUCGUGCUCAUCAAACUUGCAAGAUCAAAAGGACAGCUUAAGCAAAAACCCAAAAGUCCUAAAAUAUUAACAGAUUCUAAUUUGGGUUCUAAAAAAGGACAAUGAGAUAUUGAACAUUUCAUAACACUUACCAGAUCUGUAUUAGAACGAAGGCCUGGGGAAGACAGAAAAUUUAUAUUCUAUAUGGGCAGGUUGUGGGUCUGUCAGUAGCCACAGAUUAAGCUUGUUUUUCUUUCUCACUACCAGCUGAAGAGAGAAAAUUGCAUUGAAUUUGUGUCCUAAUCCAACCUAAUUCCCUUUCUUUUUCAGUAAACUGCAUUAAUUGGUUUUCUGAAUCCUAAAUAUUAGGACUACUAAGUGGAAAAUAAUUUAUUGUAAGCCUUUUAAAUGCUGUGGUUGCCAUGAGUGAUUUUUCUUUCAGGAGAAAAGAGUACCCAUGGGAGUGCAUCCUGAACACAGCCUGCAAGUAUAAUGCUCACCGGGUUGAGCCAAGAUGUGAGGGACAGGAAUCAGGUGGUAGUUAUUGUCAACAAAAAUGUAAAACUAAAGAGACCGAGGGGCAGAUGUUUGGUUCAGUGGUUAAGACACCAGUUAGGAUGUCCAUAUCCCAUAGAGGUGGAAUAUCUGCAUUCAGCUCCCAGCUCCAGUUCCAGGCUUCAGCUUCCUGCUACUGCAGACCGUGAGAGGCAGCAGGUGAUGAUUCAAGUAGACGGUUUUUUGCCACUCAUGUGGGAGACCUGGAUUGAGCUGCAGUUCCUGGGUUUGGCCAAGGACCAGCCCUGACCAUUUUACACUUUCAAGAGUGAACC